GCAUUAUUUGUUCGACAAGUUCUGUACUUACUUUUGAUGCACCACCUUAAACAGAAUCUGAUUUUAAUCAUGACAUGUUAUGUUGACUGUCAAGCAGUAAUUAUUCUCAUCAUUAAUAAGCAACUCAGAUUAUUUUAAGUAGCAAUUGCCGCCAUUAAGCCCAUUAAACAAUUGAUCUUCUAGUGUUAUCUCUGCCCUUGCCUAAUCAUCAGCAUAAUCUACCCUAAAAUGCAUGUAUGCGUGGAGUUUUCCUCUGCAGGUCAUUCAACUGUUGAAAAACAAUAUGCGGGCCAUAGCCAACUGGGUGUAGAAAUUCCAACCACAAAGGAAAAGAAAAUGAAGAAACGAUGUGAACUGGAUAGAUCGUGACUGAAUCAAUCAGUGUGCAGCCCUCUCCUCAAAAAUGUAUACCGGCAAUCAUCAUAAACAGAGAAAAAUAGUUUCCCUUUUGAACAGAAAACAUAAUGUGGCCCCCGUGCUAAGCAACACUGGUAGAGCAAUCAA
Long non-coding RNA from Asparagus officinalis (garden asparagus), 504 nucleotides. RefSeq lists it as uncharacterized. The record is from RefSeq and is a predicted model, not a curated record. NCBI's taxonomy places the organism in Eukaryota, Viridiplantae, Streptophyta, Magnoliopsida, Asparagales, Asparagaceae. The transcript has 3 exons.